This is a non-coding RNA of Xyrichtys novacula (pearly razorfish), 3370 nucleotides long. The record is from the annotation of a GenBank genome assembly. NCBI's taxonomy places the organism in Eukaryota, Metazoa, Chordata, Actinopteri, Labriformes, Labridae.
AUUUCUCUUUCCUUUUUGUAUCUUUUAUGCUUUUACAAACAUUAUUUCAGCAGCUUUAACACAGAAAAUUUGUUAAGUAGCACAAGACGUGUUCACAACAAAAAACCAUAAUAUUUAAGCAUAAGCUAAAACCUUCAUAUCAGGAGUGUUCAUCAUGGUACUGGGAACAGAACCUCUUUCCCAGGAGUAUUUAACCUUCUAUGUCUCAACUGAUAACAUGACCGCAAUGAGCACAGUAUUCACAUAAACAACUAUGAAAUAAACACAAGUGUGGAACACAGCAAUCUUUGACUAACAUAGCACACACACAGGUGCAGAGUCUGACUGUGAACACUGCCAGAGAACUUAGUUGACACAGAACAAAACAGACACACACAAACAUCCAAUCAACCCACACACUUCACUCUUUCAUCUCACAAUGGUAUACCCUUUCACACGUGUUUGAAGUCAAAGUCAGUCACUGGAGUCAGUCAGCAGUCUUCUAUUUUAAUUCUUGUUUUGAUUUCUUCAAUUUUUCCAAUUUGUGUGAUUUUUCCAAUUUAUGUGAUUCUUCUACAAUCGGUCAGGAGAUAUGGGACGUGCUUGUUCAAUUGGGAUCCCUGAAUAGGCUUUUCGGCCUACCCUUAUUGACCUCUUUUUCUAUCUCCUGCUCAUCAAGCCAAUCUGUAUCUGUCAGAGCUCAUAAAACAAAAAAUUGCCCAAACUCACAGUUCAACAACGGACAGACACACUCGUGCCUGCCACUCCCCUUGUUAUCCCAAAAAUUACCCAGAACCUUUUAUCACCAGGCAUUCAGCUUAGAAAACACAUCACAACCCGGGCCCGGCUGUCUCCCCACGCUACUGGCCAGUGCUUUCCUGCACCCAGCCUAUAGUUUCUCACAUAGUCUCACGCAUGUAGCAGCGUGAGGCGGUCUGACACAACCAACUGAUUCGAAGAGGACAGAGAGCAGUAGUCCGCACCACCUCACAGGGAAAAGAACUCUCAACCAAAUUUUAGGAAAUCUCCUACCUUUUUCUUUUUGUGGCCACAGAGUGUCCUUAUCCCAUGUGAAGUUCGCAGAACCAUGGUCCCUUGUCCCCCGAAACGAAUUCUGGCUAAAUUAUGCCACUGGUUUACCCAAUGUUUAUAUUUGUAAAACAAUGCUAUGUGUGUUUUAAAAUGCACACAAUGUUUAUAUAUUUGUACUGCAGGUACGAUAGUUUUAAUAUUCAGCUUGCUGAGGGAAAGGAAGAGAGAAAAAACAAAAACUGCUCGCCAGGUCUCGGAACUUUAGGGGAGAGAAGGGCGGGGGAGCUCUCACGAAGGUUGGGGCUCCUCACCGAGUGAGGGCUGUAUGUCUUGGAUCCCAAAAAAAAUGUGGGGGGGGGGGUUUCUCACUAAAUGAGAGUAAUAGCGGGGGAGAGAGGGAGCUUUAUUUUUGGCUCACGCAAAGGUGGGGGCUCGUUCAGGGCUGAGUGAGAGCGGAAUUGACCUCACUUCCCCUUUUACUUCCUAGUUCUCUCAGUCUCAGUCUGACUCUCGGACUGUCAACUUCUCCUGUUUCUGUCUCUGCCACACCCUACUACACAACACACAACUGCCUCAGCUUACACACUCUAACUGCGUCUUUGCUCAACCUCUCUCAGACUACUGUACCAACACCAAAUUCUGCUUCACCAACAACCUUACGCACACAAUCGAAAAGUCCAACCCCACCAACAAUCUGUUUUGUGUCACAAAUCUCCCAACUUUAGGCACCAUAUACAGAGCCGUGGCAACACAGUUAAUCUUAGCUUGCUUAUAGGAUUCCUGCAACCACCUUGUUAAACAUUUACCAUUAUUUACAUGUUAGUUUGCACCAUGCACACACACAACACACACAUCAGGAGAGGGAGAGAAAGGAAAAGAGCGAUCAAGUACACACGGACCGGUCCUCAAACACACACACUUUUGGGGUUUUUCUAUUUUUUAUUCGUCAAAUAUACUUUUGUUUAGUUUUUCUUUUCGGUGAAUUUUUUGAAGGUAUUCUAUUUAGUUGGCUGAUUCAUAAAGAUAACGCGUUGAUCAUCCGUGUUUUCCGUGGUGUCAAUUUGGAAGGAAGUUGUGGAUCAAACAACUCCUACCUUAUAAAUUUUCAAUACCUCCAAUGUCCAAUGUUCCGUGUGAUUGACUUCAGUUCUCAGAUUACAGUUUUGUUUGUUUUCUUUAUUUCCCGUUAUUUAUUAUGAGAAAUGCGUUCGUUUCAUCUAUAAGUUUUUGUGGAUAUACGUUAAAAUGUGCCCAUACUUAGCGACAGACCUGACAUGUAGCGGGAUUUCCCAGCAAGUGUGAUUGAACUUUCGUUUACAGUCCAGUCAACCACAUCUAAAUCUGUUCCAUAAUUCCUAGUGGAUUUCUCCACGUUAUUUAUAUUAGAUAAGUCUGCAACCUGCAGGGUUUCUGCCUUUCGAGCUCAGUAAAAGGUCCGCCCCAGAUUGCAGCACUUAACAUGGGGUGGUCUGUCCAGGUUCCUCGCCUUUCCAGACUUCCCCGGGCUCCGCAGAGCAGUAUCUCUGAGGUCUGUCCAACCUCAUCGGGUUAAACUUUUACACAACUGCCAGGGCUUGGCUGCCGGCCAAUUAUCCAAUCGCGCGCCGUGAACUCUAUGCCCAUAGGAUUUGACUUCCCGGCAUCUUGUUCACCCACAACACAGAUCCGCUCUGCUGAUCACUGUUCUCGGGAUCUGUUAGCGAUACUUCUGUGCCCCCGUAAAUAUUAAGCUCGAGGCCUGUUCGCUUUACUCCUACUAUCCCCGUAAGACACAAGUCAACAGACACUUGGCCAAGAUUUUCAGCUGCUUUGACGCCAAUGGUUAAUUUGUCUGUCUCACAAUUUUCCACACACUUUGGAGCAGCCUUCAUGUAUACAUGAAUAACACGCGAGAGACUCCGCCCGAUUCUGCUUCCUUUGAUUCUAGACUCUUUCUUUUGCGAAGGCCCAAACACACGAUGGUCUCACCACACAGUGAAAUCACACAUCUAAUAGAGAAAUAAACUACUCCUACCUUUUGUGUGCCGGCACGUGGAUUUCACUCGCGUGGGGAGGCCAACGCCCCGGGCCUCGGCAAAAUCUGGGCUGAAGCUCGCCAAUUAUUUAGAAGAUGACCUCGGUGCAAAAGUGCAGAAAUGAACUACACGAAGACAGAAUCAAGCUGGCAGCCUCUCGGCGGGGUUUUUAUUCCGAUCACAGCAUUGAACAAUAGCUCAUGAGCAAUCGAACAGACAGAACCAAAAAACAGCCCAUCCACAUAUCUUUUAUAGUCCUCCAUUGACGUCAGGGACCUUAGUUUUAGCCAAAUGUGCGUGCGAAAGUCCCCUUCGUGACUUUCUCUUUUGGAGCCAGAUUUCCU